Molecule: ribosomal RNA, 256 nt
Filed under: uncultured bacterium
Lineage: Bacteria
Description: partial 16S ribosomal RNA
Rfam family: Bacterial small subunit ribosomal RNA
Source: RNAcentral
UGAUACAGAGGUGGCGAGCGUUGUUCGGAUUUACUGGGCGUAAAGGAUGCGUAGGCGGUUUUGCGUGUCGGGUGUGAAAGCCCUGGGCUCAACCCAGGAAGUGCAUUCGAAACUGCAGGACUAGAGUAUGGGAGAGGAGAGCGGAAUUCCUGGUGUAGCGGUGAAAUGCGUAGAUAUCAGGAGGAACACCGGUGGCGAAGGCGGCUCUCUAGCAUAAUACUGACGCUGAGGCAUGAAAGCUGGGGGAGCAAACAGG